This 225-nucleotide ribosomal RNA is filed under the name uncultured Ruminococcus sp. RNAcentral describes it as "partial 16S ribosomal RNA". It matches the Rfam family "Bacterial small subunit ribosomal RNA", at positions 568 to 792 of the family's 1533-position model. Lineage: Bacteria; Bacillati; Bacillota; Clostridia; Eubacteriales; Oscillospiraceae. The record is from RNAcentral.
AGCGUAGGCGGGAUGGUAAGUCAGAUGUGAAAACUAUGGGCUCAACCCAUAGACUGCAUUUGAAACUGCUGUUCUUGAGUGAAGUAGAGGUAAGCGGAAUUCCUAGUGUAGCGGUGAAAUGCGUAGAUAUUAGGAGGAACAUCGGUGGCGAAGGCGGCUUACUGGGCUUUUACUGACGCUGAGGCUCGAAAGCGUGGGGAGCAAACAGGAUUAGAUACCCCCGUA